Molecule: long non-coding RNA, 998 nt
Organism: Xenopus laevis (African clawed frog)
Lineage: Eukaryota; Metazoa; Chordata; Amphibia; Anura; Pipidae
Exons: 4
Source: RefSeq, a predicted model, not a curated record
UAAGUCUUCUUUUCUGUAGAUUGACUCUGUAUCUAUUAACGAUAAAGGAGUGUACAAUUGCGUGGCUACUAAUUUUGCAGGAGAAGGAAGACAAGAUGUGGUGCUAACAGUGUUAGGUGGGUGAUUUUUUUUAACCAUUAAAAAUUAGUUGUCCUUUAAGAUCUUAUUCUUUUUGCUUCAAUUUAGUGCUGCCUAAUAUUGAACCAUCAGAUGUCAACCAGACUGUUGUUGAGAAUCUUCCAGCAUCCUUUCAGUGCUUGGUAUCCAGAAGUCCAUUGCCAAUUGUGUCCUGGUAUCGAGGGGAGUAGCUGUUGUCUGCUGCGCCUGGCAUCACCCUGCUAAACGAUGGCAAGACCCUUCAGAUUGAGAGUGCCCAAAGCUCAGAAAGUGGAGAAUACUGUGUGUAGCUUCUAUUAAAGCUGGUACCAUUGAAUUCCAAUACAACAUGCAAAGGUGCAAAGGUCUUGAUUAUGGAGAUGGAAGAACCAGGAGCAGCUAUAGGGAUUAGCAGGGACAUUGUCUCUUUCAGUAGAACAAAAGGUUUUUUCCCCCUCAACAGUUGCUCCAAUAAUUGUCUCCAUUAUGGACCUUUUUGAUGAAUGAGCAGGUGUGGCUGGAAUGUGAUGCAACAGGGGUGCCGGAGCCAAUGGUUAUGUGGCUGAAGGACCAAAUACCAGUUUCGACUGAAAUAGCUGGCCUACAGUGGCCCCAAGUAACAUGGGAGAAGAACUAAACUCCUCCAUCUAUGUUAACCAGCCUCUUCUUCUUGAGUGCCAGAGCACUGCAAUCCCUCCCCCAGUUAUCACUUGGUUGAAAGAUGGGCGCCCCUAUGUUCAGAGGCCUGGGGUGCGAGUAUAUAUAUAGACGAUGGUCACUAUCUGCAGUGCCACCAUCUUUCCCAAAACCCUCUUCUCCCCACCACUCAAUAAUUAAAGGGCAACCUGUUAGCUUUACUUGUGAAUGCACUGGGGUUCAUGCACCAACACUCACCUGGACCA